GGCCGGGUGGUCUGGAGUGGGGAGUGGAGGCUGUGUUCGUCCCUUGUAGCUGCCAAUGAAGCCUCUCCUUUUAAAAAUGGCUUGAAGAGCGAAGUGAGCGGAAACCUAAGCCCUCUCCUCCUCCACGCCCCGCGGAGAGCUCUGGUUCCCGGGUAGCGCGUGGGAGUUGGGCGCCCGCCGCUGAGGUCGGGCGGCCGCGUCCUAGGGAGCCUGGGCCUCUUUGUGGCUCCUGGGCUCCGCGGCGCAGACCUCCUCUUCGCCCUCGGCUUGGCGGUUCCGGGCCCCUGACCUCGCCAGCCGCGCCGCCCACCGCUUCCUUCCCCGAGGGCGUAAACCCUAAUUCACUCGGGCCUCGGCCAGCUCCCUGGCCUGCAGCCCGCCCGGCUCCGAAGUUUCGGGGCGGGGGCAGGCAGACUGAGCUCCUCUCCUGAAGUGAUUCCGCACGCAUUUGUUUCGGGACCCCGGCCUCGUCCCGGCCUUAACCUCCUCAGCUUUACAACGGGGAAUAGUUUUUGCCGGCUCGCCCACCAUGUGGUGGCUGGAUAAUAUAUAUUCCGGCUGAGAGAGACUUGUCAACUAUCCCGCCGGGUGGCAGUUCACAGCCCUCCCAGAUUGGAGGGUGGUGGAGUGAGGGGGUUUCAGGUCCCGGCCUGCGACCUCCCAGUAGGAGGGGCUGGUGGUCGUUUAGGUUCCGCGAAGCCCGCCACGCUUCAGGCCAGGACACGUGAUGCCCUUGGGGACCGCACUGUCCCUGAGUCCUGCCUAGAGCAGAGCAGCCUUCCUGGAGCCCUCUACUAGGCUCUUGGUCGACCUCACCAUCUCGCCGUGGGCAGCUGCCCCAGCGAGAGACUCAGAAACUCCUGCCUGGAGCAGGAGCUGAGCGUCACCCAAAACCCAGGUUGAAAGGGGACCCUCUAGGUUGUCCUUAGCUGUGGACACGGUGGAGGCGACCCUGGGUCUCAUCGGAAAAUCAAACCCAGAGAAGAAAUUGGUCUCUGAUGAUCAAACCUCCUGGGAGAGUCACAAUUGAAGACAUCCCCAAACUUUUUACAAAGCUAUAAAUCUGGAAGAAAAAGAAGCUACAUGGAUGGAGGGAGACAGUUAAGAAUUACAAGAUAUUUUAGCAAUAGAAUUCAAAGGACUAAAGAAUCUGUGUGAUGCUACAGAUGAAAGCUGCACCCAGUAUUAUCAAGUCAGCAUCUUGGCAUCUGGAAGAGAAGGUGUGACUUCCAUGGUACCAUAAAUGGGUAUAGAUUGUGAAUUUUGAAGACACCAACUCUCACUGCAGUGGAAAUUUGGAGUUAGGAAUGAGCCUUACCACAGGCUUCCUGUGUCCUCUGUCCUGUGUAGUGGGGUGGUACACUGGGGUGAUGAAGCAAGGCUGGACAACAUAAAACUAGUACCUGGUACUUCCUGAAAUCUUCCAUUCUUCCCCCAGUGCCACAUUUAGCUUGUUCAUCAGCACGUUACUAUCAAACUGACAGAAGAUUUUUCUUUAAAUGAGCAAAUUUUCUCUUCAGAAAGUACAUGCAAUGACUAGUUCCAAUCUGGCCAUGAAACAGGAGUGUCAUGGCAGGCAUAAAAGGGCCAAGGUUUUAAGUACAAUUUUUUUCCUCUCCUCCACACACACAAAAACAUACAUUUAGUAUUUCUUUAAGGACAUGCCCGCCCACAAACAUCUGAGAAACAUCUGUAGACAAAAUGCCAAAAUGCAUAGUAGAAUUUUGACUCACACCUCACCACCCACCAAGACCCCUGUCAACUCACAAUAAACACCUUUCUAGCAUCUGCCCCAGAGAAAGAAACGCCACAUUACCCAAAGGUCAGAGCAAACAGAUGUCACUUAUUGCAGACCCUAAUCAUAUCCAUAUCCAACCUUAGGAGGCCUGCAGUGAAAGCCAACUUCGGGAGUCAGGGUUCCUCCAGUUACAGACGCCCAUCCCUGGGUCUUCCCUCCCUUUCACUGGAGCAAGGGGGCCUUGGAAGUGGUUGUCUCUAGGGGCCGUCCCUGUGCCCUGCUGUCUAAGCCCAUGACUGAGUGUGGGUCUAGGGAGGCAGCAGGAAAUUCUUCAUGGUUGAUCAGCAUCUGAGCAGUCCUCCUGCUCCUCAUUUGGCCAGACCUGAAAUAUUUUUCAAGAACAGCUCCUGCCUCAAACUUUGAUUCCCUGUGGAAGAGUUAGAACCGCUCUCCUCUGUUCUCAUAGUCCUUUGUGCACAUUUCUGUGCCUCCUCUUGUAGCUCUCUUCAUACUGAAUAGCAUCACCUUACAUCUCUGAGUCCUAAGGGACUGAGCUUCAGUUGGAGGAAAGAAGAAGGAGGGAAGGAAGGAAGGGGAGAAGGAAGGAAACAGAGUGGGCAUAUGGGAUUUACACAAAGUUUAAUGAGAAGGCAAUGUUGGAUUGCCAUUUAGUGGAGGGGGAUUGUUUUAUGUUUGUCUUCAUAAACUGAUAAAGCAUAAUACUCAAUCCAGUCACUUCACAUUCAGUAUCUAUAAAAGAGUUUUAAAAACAUAAAUGUGUAGAUAUUUUUUGUUGUUCCUGUGAACCUACCCUUUACCUUUCUGCUAUCAUCUUCCCCAUUUCAGUCCUGAAGGGCAGGUCCAGUUCAUUCAAAGAGAAAUACAAUGGGAAUCAUAAAUUAUUUAGAAUUUAGAAGCCACAGAGGUUUAAAUUUCAUGAUAUAAGUUUAUACAUUUGAAGUUUAUACAUUCCUUCUCACAAUCACAAGCAAGUUUGGGAAGGGCUGAUUGUUGAAUGUGAUAUAAAAGCAAAAAUGAGGAAUAUAGCUCACUUUCCAUAACAAUUUUCUGUCUCUGCCUGCCUCAAAACCAAACAGACACAUGCAUUAUAUAUUGAAUAGCCUGAAGGCUCAGCUUUGCACAGUUCUUGAAACAAUCCUACCGUGUCUGUUCCUAUAUCAGGACCCAUCCUCCCAAUGGCUAAGCUCUAGAGGCAGUUAUGCUGUCAUAAGCCUAGUGAUCCUGGAGUGACGCUCUAUGCUCCUUGAAAUCUUCACUCCAUCCUUAUGACUAAGCAUCUGUUUUCCAUGUGCUUGUGUCCCAGUAUUUUCCCCCACUCGAGCUAGAACCCUAGUCUGACCCUUAGAUCAUAGAUUGGAACCUUCCAACCAAGUCUUAUUAACUUACCUCCGUAGAGACUGAACCCUGCUCUCUGACCAGACUGUACUUCAACAAUCACCACCACUUCUACUCAACUAUAUCUGUGUGCCAGGAGCUCAUUUUAUAUUACUGAUCAUUCUCACAAAGACCAUUCAAGGUAGAUAGCAUUGUCCCCUUUGGCAGAUAAACCACAACUCAAAAUUCGAGAUACCUCAUGCCUUAAUCAAUCUUCCCAGGUAGCACAGUGGUGAAGAAUCCACCGGUCAAGGCAGGAGAUACAAGAGAUGCAGGUUUGAUCCCUGGAUUUGUGGCCUACAGGUCACGGGGUUGCAAAGAGUUGGACACAACUGAGCAAUUGAACACACGCACACACUCACGUGCAAUGCCUUAAUCAAAGCUAAACAACUAAAAUGUAGAAGCGGCAGAUGUCUCUGGUUCCAGAAUUUAUGACCUUCCAACCCCUCCUCUCUGGAACUUUGACACUAUUUAUCCACCAUCCUUAAAGAACUCCCCUUCCAGGGGUGCAACACAGGAGACUCAGAUAUCAGUGCCAGGCCAAACCAGACAUGGAUUUGGACACUCAUAGAAGAAGCUGACUUUGCACCAGUGUUCCAGCUCCACCCAAAACAGCCGUAUUCUCCUUGCAGAUAUUGAGUUAGUUUUAAAUUAUAAAAUAUUUUAAUGACAACCCUAUAAAGCUUAUAGCAUCAUCACAAAGGCCUCUUUAAGUGUUUUUUUUUUCCUCAUGAGAAAAGACAUGAACAAAAAUGUAGGCAUUUCAGAUGUUUUUUCAUACAAAUGUAACUACACUAAAGCCUCAGCACAUUGUCGACUCUUAAAGGAGUCCAAUUUCAUUCCUGAUCACUAGAAGUUACAGAAGCAAACCUUAAUGUCCCUAAGAGUUUGAAAAUUUUAUAGAAUUGUGAACGACUCUUGUUUGCUCUGAAUGGAAUUACUCAUUUAGGUACACUGAGUCUUCUUGCUUUUCUUUCCUCCUGCCUUCUGAGUUUUCCAAA
Molecule: long non-coding RNA, 4134 nt
Organism: Cervus elaphus (red deer)
Lineage: Eukaryota; Metazoa; Chordata; Mammalia; Artiodactyla; Cervidae
Exons: 3
Source: RefSeq, a predicted model, not a curated record